UCUGGGGUGGACAUGUGAACA
Molecule: microRNA, 21 nt
Filed under: Ectocarpus siliculosus
Lineage: Eukaryota; Phaeophyceae; Ectocarpales; Ectocarpaceae
Description: esi-miR3469b-5p
Source: miRBase by way of RNAcentral